This 497-nucleotide ribosomal RNA is filed under the name uncultured bacterium. RNAcentral's name for it is "partial 16S ribosomal RNA". The stretch from base 51 to 497 matches the Rfam family "Bacterial small subunit ribosomal RNA", at positions 39 to 507 of the family's 1533-position model. The record is from RNAcentral.
GGGGGGGGGGGGGGGGGGGGGGGGUGGGGGCGGGGCGGGCGGUGGAGGACGCGGCUUGCAGAGGGCGGAUGAGGGGCGAACGGGUGAGGAACGCGGGGGAAAUCUGCCGAGAAGGGGGGGAUAACGUUCGGACACGGGUGCUAAUACCGCAUAUAUUCUUGGACCGCCGGGUCCUUGACAGAAAGACGGCUUUGCUGUCGCGUACACGUGACCCCGCGGCGUAUUAGUUAGUUGGUGGGGUAAAGGCCUACCACGACAAUGAUACGUAGCCGACCUGAGAGGGUGAUCGGCCACACUGGGACUGAGACACGGCCCAGACUCCUACGGGAGGCAGCAGUAGGGAAUCUUCCACAAUGGGCGAAAGCCUGAUGGAGCAAUGCCGCGUGAAUGAAGAAGGUCUUCGGAUCGUAAAGUUCUGUUAUUAGAGAAGAACAAGUCAAGGAGUAACUGUCUUGACUUUGACGGUACCUAACCAGAAAGUCACGGCUAACUACGUG